This 427-nucleotide ribosomal RNA is filed under the name Calcinus hazletti. Its description in RNAcentral is "partial 16S ribosomal RNA". It matches the Rfam family "Archaeal large subunit ribosomal RNA", at positions 1993 to 2616 of the family's 2987-position model. The record is from RNAcentral. Lineage: Eukaryota; Metazoa; Arthropoda; Malacostraca; Decapoda; Diogenidae.
UGAAUUUCUAAAGGGCCGCGGUAUUCCUGACCGUGCGAAGGUAGCAUAAUCAUUAGUCUUUUAAUUUGAGGCUCGUAUGAAUGGUCGGACGAGGGAUAAACUGUUUCAAAUAAAAACCUCGAAUUUAACUUUUAAGUGAGAAGGCUUAAAUCACUCAGAAAGACGAUAAGACCCUAUAAAUCUUAACAUUAAGCUUCAUGCUUCUCUAGUUUAUAAGUGCAAAGAGAAGCAUGAUAAAAAUGUUCUGCUGGGGCAGCGAAGAUAUAAUAAACCUAACUGUGUUACUAUCCAAACAAAAAUAAUUGAAUUUUCUAGAUCCUUAUUAAAGAUUCAAAGAUCAAGUUACUUUAGGGAUAACAGCGUUAUUCUUUUUGAGAGUCCUCAUCGAAAAAAGAGUUUGCGACCUCGAUGUUGAAUUAAAAGAUCU